RNAcentral lists this ribosomal RNA (486 nucleotides) under uncultured bacterium. RNAcentral describes it as "partial 16S ribosomal RNA". It matches the Rfam family "Bacterial small subunit ribosomal RNA", at positions 28 to 507 of the family's 1533-position model. The record is from RNAcentral.
GACGAACGCUGGCGGCGUGCUUAACACAUGCAAGUCGAACGCUGAAGACCUGGCUUUUGUUGGGUUGGAUGAGUGGCGAACGGGUGAGUAACACGUGAGUAACCUGCCCUCUUCUUUGGGAUAACGCCCGGAAACGGGUGCUAAUACUGGAUAUUCACUGGCCUUCGCAUGGGGGUUGGUGGAAAGGUUUGUUCUGGUGGGGGAUGGGCUCGCGGCCUAUCAGCUUGUUGGUGGGGUGAUGGCCUACCAAGGCUUUGACGGGUAGCCGGCCUGAGAGGGUGACCGGUCACAUUGGGACUGAGAUACGGCCCAGACUCCUACGGGAGGCAGCAGUGGGGAAUAUUGCACAAUGGGCGAAAGCCUGAUGCAGCGACGCCGCGUGAGGGAUGGAGGCCUUCGGGUUGUAAACCUCUUUCGCUCAUGGUCAAGCCGCAACUGUGGGAUGUGGUGAGGGUAGUGGGUAAAGAAGCGCCGGCUAACUACGUG